CCUUGCUUAGCCACACCCCCAAGGGAAGUCAGCAGUGACAGACAUUAAGCCAUGAGCGAAAGCUUGACUUAGUUAGGGUUGACAAGGGCCGGUAAAACUCGUGCCAGCAACCGCGGUUACACGAGAGGCCCAAAUUGACACAGUACGGCGUAAAGUGUGAUUAAAGAUAUUCUUACACUGGAGCCAAACACCCCUUAUGCUGUCAUACGCCAUGGGGGUUACGAAGCCCAACAACGAAAGUGGCUCUACAAAUCUUGAACUCACUACAGCUAGGACACAAACUGGGAUUAGAUACCCCAUUAUGCCCAGCCUUAAACCAAGGCGAUUAAAAUACAAACUUCGCCCGCCAGGGAACUACAAGCCCCAGCUUAAAACCCAAAGGACUUGGCGGUGCCUCAAACCCACCUAAAGGAGCCUGUCCUAUAACCGAUAAUCCCCGUUAAACCUCACCCCUUCUUGUUAACCCCGCUUAUAUACCGCCGUCGCCAGUUUACCUUUUGAAAGAACAACAGUAAGCAUAACGGGUAACACCCAAUACGUCAGGUCGAGGUGUAGCGAAUGAAGGGGGAAGAGAUGGGCUACAUUUUCUGACAACACAAUACUACCAAGGAUGCAAUGAAAGAUGCACGUCCGAAGGUGGAUUUAGCAGUAAAAAGAAAAAAGAGAGCUCUUUUGAAACCGGCCCUGAGGCGCGUACACACCGCCCGUCA
Molecule: ribosomal RNA, 710 nt
Filed under: Strophidon sathete (slender giant moray)
Lineage: Eukaryota; Metazoa; Chordata; Actinopteri; Anguilliformes; Muraenidae
Description: partial 12S ribosomal RNA
Rfam family: Bacterial small subunit ribosomal RNA
Source: RNAcentral